This 471-nucleotide ribosomal RNA is filed under the name uncultured bacterium. RNAcentral's name for it is "partial 16S ribosomal RNA". It matches the Rfam family "Bacterial small subunit ribosomal RNA", at positions 28 to 507 of the family's 1533-position model. The record is from RNAcentral.
GACGAACGCUGGCGGCGUGCUUAACACAUGCAAGUCGAACGAUGAAGCCUAGCUUGCUAGGUGGAUUAGUGGCGAACGGGUGAGUAAUACGUGAGUGACCUACCUUUGACUCUGGGAUAAGCCUGGGAAACUGGGUCUCAUACCGGAUACGACCAAUCCCCGCAUGGGGUGUUGGUGGAAAGCGUUAUGGAGUGGUUUUAGAUGGGCUCACGGCCUAUCAGCUUGUUGGUGAGGUAAUGGCUUACCAAGGCGACGACGGGUAGCCGGCCUGAGAGGGUGACCGGCCACACUGGGACUGAGACACGGCCCAGACUCCUACGGGAGGCAGCAGUGGGGAAUAUUGCACAAUGGGCGCAAGCCUGAUGCAGCGACGCCGCGUGAGGGAUGACGGCCUUCGGGUUGUAAACCUCUGUUAGCAUCGAAGAAGCGAAAGUGACGGUAGGUGCAGAGAAAGCGCCGGCUAACUACGUG